Molecule: ribosomal RNA, 786 nt
Filed under: Triticum aestivum (bread wheat)
Lineage: Eukaryota; Viridiplantae; Streptophyta; Magnoliopsida; Poales; Poaceae
Description: partial small subunit ribosomal RNA
Source: RNAcentral
AUGCUCGACGCAGGAAGCCAUAGAUCUCCCUUGGAGCCCAACGAGCAACCACAGUCGGGCCAUUUUCUGAGUUUCUUUGGCCCGGCGAGGUGCUUGCUGCUCUGGCUAGCUCGCAGCAUGGCAAUGAUAAAGAGAUGCCUUUGCAGAUCCGAGGAAGACUUCAAAGGACUGUUAAGGACAACCAAUAUCCACCUUUUCUCCUACAAGGAGAUCAGAAGAGCAACGAACAACUUCCACCGUAGCAACAAGCUAGGCAGAGGUGGUUUCGGAACUGUGUACAAGGGAACCUUUGGAGACGGCACUGCAUUUGCUGCCAAGGUUCUAUCCUGUGAAUCUGAACAAGGGAUCAAGGAAUUCCUGACAGAAAUCGAAAGCAUCGGCGAGGCCAAGCAUGCGAACCUCGUCAGCUUGCUGGGCUGCUGUGUCCAGAAGCAAAAUAGGAUCCUGGUCUAUGAGUUCGCGGAGAACAACAGCCUGGAUCAUGCGCUCAAAGCUCUAGGUUCAGCGAGCGGAGCAGCGAUCCUCCCAUGGAGCGUGAGGUCGGACAUCUGUAUGGGCACGGCCAAGGGGCUGAGCUACCUCCACGAGGAGCACGAGCCCAACAUGGUGCACAGAGACAUCAAGGCAAGCAACGUCCUCCUCGGCAGAAACUACACUACUACAGCCCCAAAAUCGGGGACUUCGGCUUGGCGAAGCUGUUCCCGGACAACGUCACCCAUGUCACCACGUGCGUGGUCGGGACGACCGGAUACCUGGCGCCUGAAUACGUGGUGCACGGGCAGCUGA